GGUUAAGUGAAUAAGGGCGCACGGUGGAUGCCUUGGCACUAGAAGCCGAUGAAGGACGGGACUAACUCCGAUAUGCUUUGGGGAGCUGUAAGUAAGCUAUGAUCCAGAGAUUUCCGAAUGGGGGAACCCAGCAUCUUUAAUAGGAUGUUACUAUUAAGUGAAUACAUAGCUUAAUAGAGGUAGACGCAGAGAACUGAAACAUCUAAGUACCUGCAGGAAGAGAAAGAAAAAUCGAUUUCCUUAGUAGCGGCGAGCGAAACGGAACCAGCCCAAACCAACAAGCUUGCUUGUUGGGGUUGUAGGACUCAGCUGUGGUAGCUGUUGUGGAUAGUCGAAUCGACCUGGAAAGGUCAGCCGUAGCGGGUAAAAGCCCCGUAGACGAAAUUGACAACACACCUAUGAGUAUCCUGAGUACGGCGGAACACGCGAAAUUCCGUCGGAAUCCGGGAGGACCAUCUCCCAAGGCUAAAUACUCUCUAGUGACCGAUAGUGAACCAGUACCGUGAGGGAAAGGUGAAAAGCACCCCGGAAGGGGAGUGAAAUAGAACCUGAAACCGUGUGCCUACAAGAAGUCAGAGCCCGUUAAUGGGUGAUGGCGUGCCUUUUGCAGAAUGAACCGGCGAGUUACGAUUGCAUGCGAGGUUAAGCUGAAGAAGCGGAGCCGUAGCGAAAGCGAGUCUGAAUAGGGCGAGUGAGUAUGUAGUCGUAGACCCGAAACCAUGUGACCUACCCAUGUCCAGGUUGAAGGUGCGGUAAAACGCACUGGAGGACCGAACCCACGUACGUUGAAAAGUGCGGGGAUGAGGUGUGGGUAGCGGAGAAAUUCCAAACGAACUUGGAGAUAGCUGGUUCUCUCCGAAAUAGCUUUAGGGCUAGCCUCGGAAUUAAGAAUGAUGGAGGUAGAGCACUGUUUGGACUAGGGGCCCGUCUUGGGUUACCGAAUUCAGAUAAACUCCGAAUGCCAUUCAUUUAUGUCCGGGAGUCAGACAGUGAGUGAUAAGAUCCAUUGUCGAAAGGGAAACAGCCCAGACCACCAGCUAAGGUCCCCAAAUAUAUGUUAAGUGGAAAAGGAUGUGAGGGUGCACAAACAACUAGGAUGUUGGCUUAGAAGCAGCCAUCAUUUAAAGAGUGCGUAAUAGCUCACUAGUCGAGUGCCCUUGCGCCGAAAAUGUACCGGGGCUAAACAUAUUACCGAAGCUGUGGAUAGAACCAUUAGGUUCUAUGGUAGGAGAGCGUUCUAAGGGCGUAGAAGCUAGAUCGUAAGGACUGGUGGAGCGCUUAGAAGUGAGAAUGCCGGUAUGAGUAGCGAAAGACAGGUGAGAAUCCUGUCCACCGAAUGACUAAGGUUUCCUGGGGAAGGCUCGUCCUCCCAGGGUUAGUCGGGACCUAAGCUGAGGCCGAUAGGCGUAGGCGAUGGAUAACAGGUUGAGAUUCCUGUACCCGUUUGUUUUGUUUGAACAAUGGAGGGACGCAGUAGGUUACAAGAUCGCACUGUUGGAUAUGUGCGUUCAAGCAACAAGUCUUGGUAAGAGUCAAAUGCUUUUACCUNNGACGGCCCGUACCGCAAACCGACACAGGUAGUCGAGGAGAGAAUCCUAAGGUGAGCGAGAGAACUCUCGUUAAGGAACUCGGCAAAAUGACCCCGUAACUUAGGGAGAAGGGGUGCUGAACGCAAGUUCAGCCGCAGUGAAUAGGCCCAAGCGACUGUUUAUCAAAAACACAGGUCUCUGCAAAAUCGAAAGAUGACGUAUAGGGGCUGACGCCUGCCCGGUGCUGGAAGGUUAAGAGGAUGGGUUAGCAAUAGCGAAGCUCAGAAUUGAAGCCCCAGUAAACGGCGGCCGUAACUAUAACGGUCCUAAGGUAGCGAAAUUCCUUGUCGGGUAAGUUCCGACCCGCACGAAAGGCGUAACGAUUUGGGCACUGUCUCAACGAGAGACUCGGUGAAAUUUUAGUACCUGUGAAGAUGCAGGUUACCCGCGACAGGACGGAAAGACCCCAUGGAGCUUUACUGUAGCUUGAUAUUGAAUGUUUGUAACACAUGUACAGGAUAGGUAGGAGCCGUAGAAUUCGGGACGCCAGUUUCGAAUGAGGCAAUGGUGGGAUACUACCCUUGUGUUAUGACCAUUCUAACCCGCACCACUUAUCGUGGUGGGAGACAGUGUCAGGUGGACAGUUUGACUGGGGCGGUCGCCUCCUAAAGAGUAACGGAGGCGCCCAAAGGUUCCCUCAGAAUGGUUGGAAAUCAUUCGUAGAGUGCAAAGGCAGAAGGGAGCUUGACUGCGAGAGCUACAACUCGAGCAGGGACGAAAGUCGGGCUUAGUGAUCCGGUGGUUCCGCAUGGAAGGGCCAUCGCUCAACGGAUAAAAGCUACCCUGGGGAUAACAGGCUUAUCUCCCCCAAGAGUUCACAUCGACGGGGAGGUUUGGCACCUCGAUGUCGGCUCGUCGCAUCCUGGGGCUGUAGUCGGUCCCAAGGGUUGGGCUGUUCGCCCAUUAAAGCGGCACGCGAGCUGGGUUCAGAACGUCGUGAGACAGUUCGGUCCCUAUCCGUCGCGGGCGUUGGAAAUUUGAGAGGAGCUGUCCUUAGUACGAGAGGACCGGGAUGGACACACCUCUGGUGUACCAGUUGUUCUGCCAAGGGCAUUGCUGGGUAGCUAUGUGUGGAAGGGAUAAACGCUGAAAGCAUCUAAGCGUGAAGCCCCCCUCAAGAUGAGAUUUCCCAUUUCUUUAAGAAAGUAAGACCCCUGAAAGAUGAUCAGGUAGAUAGGCUAGAAGUGGAAGUGCAGUGAUGUACGGAGCGGACUAGUACUAAUCGGUCGAGGACUUAACCAA
RNAcentral lists this ribosomal RNA (2831 nucleotides) under Vagococcus fluvialis. RNAcentral describes it as "23S ribosomal RNA". It matches the Rfam family "Bacterial large subunit ribosomal RNA". The record is from RNAcentral. Lineage: Bacteria; Bacillati; Bacillota; Bacilli; Lactobacillales; Enterococcaceae.